This is a long non-coding RNA of Dermacentor andersoni, 422 nucleotides long. RefSeq lists it as uncharacterized. Lineage: Eukaryota; Metazoa; Arthropoda; Arachnida; Ixodida; Ixodidae. The record is from RefSeq and is a predicted model, not a curated record.
GCGCUAUAUAAGCGAGUACGCGCAGUCUCCGAUAACACAGCAUUGUCUCAGCUGCCCCCGCACAUUACGCCAACAGGACUUACAGCCAUGUUCUCACUGAACACCAAGUCCUUCCUCCUGGCUCUUCUGGUUAUGGCUGUUCUCUGCAGCCUGGCAGCUGCUCAGUUCGGCUACGGACGAGGAUUCGGACGUGGCUAUGGCGGAUAUGGCGGCUACGGCCGAGGCUUCGGUGGUGGAUAUGGCCGAGGCUUCGGCGGUGGAUACGGUCGCGGCUACGGUGGAUAUGGCCGCGGAUUUUACGGCUGACAGGGAAAAGCCGGAUGAUGCUUCAAGACGAAUCAGUGCCAAAAACAGCAGAGAUCUGACGUCUGCGUCCAGUCGCCUAUUCAAACGAAUAAACCAUUUAUAAAGGUUUCGCAAAA